GUCCACAAGUUUGUGUUGCUGUUGGUCGUUGAAGUUCAUGGUUCAAGUGGCUCACUAUAGUGUUUAUUUUAUUGUUAAUUAGUUAUAAAUAAAUUAUGUUUGUGUUGCUUUUUUGUAGGAUUCUAGCUAGGCGUUAAGUGACGCUUCGGUCUUCGUCGCAUCCGGAAGUGUGUUCGAGGUUCUAUGAGUUUCUAUGAAUGCUCUUUGCUUACCGGGUUCUGAUAUCUUUGGUUCUCGAGAGAUUGGUUUUCAACUUUGAUAGGAGGUAAUAGAUAUUAUUUCUGGUUUGGCCGUGGGCAGCCGUGAUAAGUCGCAUUUGCUGGUCUUUCAAAAGAAGAAGAGGUUUCUCUGUUCUCUUAGUUCUAUCAUUUUUCUUAAGGUUUUUGUCUUGUCGCCUCUGCUUUUAGUUUUAGGAGUCGUCCUCUUUCGAUUGUGUUUUGAUCAUUUCUGCAUUGUAUUUCCAGUUUCGUUUUACCCUGGUUCCCUUAGAUAGGGCUUUGUUUUCCGGGGAAUUUCUUUUUUUCUCCGGCAAUGUCUUCAGAGACUUUUAGUUGUCUGCCGACUUGAGUUUCCCUUGUUUGGGCAUAUGUAUUCCUCCUCUGGUUCCACAAUAAGCUUUUAUAAUAAAAUUUCAAGUGACAAAAAAAAAGUUAUAUUUAAUAUUUUGGUGAUUUUCUUUUUCUAUACUAAAACCAAUAAAAA
This 702-nucleotide small RNA is filed under the name Arabidopsis thaliana (thale cress). RNAcentral describes it as "ATSL047360". Lineage: Eukaryota; Viridiplantae; Streptophyta; Magnoliopsida; Brassicales; Brassicaceae. The record is from RNAcentral.